CCUACGGGAGGCAGCAGUGAGGAAUAUUGGUCAAUGGCCGUAAGGCUGAACCAGCCAAGCCGCGUGAAGGAAGAAGGAUCUAUGGUUUGUAAACUUCUUUUAUAGGGGAAUAAAGGUAUCCACGUGUGGAAAUUUGCAUGUACCCUAUGAAUAAGCAUCGGCUAACUCCGUGCCAGCAGCCGCGGUAAUACGGAGGAGGCGAGCGUUAUCCGGAUUUAUUGGGGUAAAAGGGUUGGUAGGUUGGUUGUUAAGUCAGCGUGGAAAGUUUGUGGCUCAACCAUAAAAUUGCCAUUGAAACUGGAUGGCUUGAGUGUGUUUGAGGUAGGCGGAAUGCGUGGUGUAGCGGUGAAAUGCAUAGAUAUCACGCAGAACUCCGAUUGCGAAGGCAGCUUACUAAGCCAUAACUGACACUGAAGCACGAAAGCGUGGGGAUCAAACAGGAUUAGAUACCCGUCUAGUC
RNAcentral lists this ribosomal RNA (460 nucleotides) under uncultured bacterium. RNAcentral's name for it is "partial 16S ribosomal RNA". It matches the Rfam family "Bacterial small subunit ribosomal RNA", at positions 338 to 795 of the family's 1533-position model. The record is from RNAcentral.